Molecule: unclassified non-coding RNA, 457 nt
Filed under: Hevea brasiliensis (rubber tree)
Lineage: Eukaryota; Viridiplantae; Streptophyta; Magnoliopsida; Malpighiales; Euphorbiaceae
Source: RNAcentral
AAAAAAAAAAAUAGUGAAGCAACCCAUAAAUCUUUCCCUUUAAAUUUAUUCGCACAGGAAUCACAAAAUCAAAACAUCCACAGGAAGAUUAUGAGCUCAGUAAUCCUCCAAUAAAUCAGAAUGAUCGUACUCAAAAAGUUAAAAUGCCAAUAAAUCAAUUUCAGACUCACAUAUCAUAUCCUACAAUGGCUAAAACAGAUCUGCGGCACCGACAUUGCAAUCAAUCAAAACCCAAAAACUAAAAAUCACAUUUUAACACGAUAAAUUAAUCAAGCAAUCACAUGAUGGAGACAUUUCCUCACUAGAAAAGGCACCACCAUGCCGCUUACACGCUUUAUUCCUAACCAUUUCCAGCAUCCUCUUGCUGAUCUCCUUGGAAUAAACUUGAAGGAUCUCGAUUCCACGGCAAGGAUCAGCCUCAACGCCAGCCGAUGUAGCGGCGGCGGCGGCGGCGGCG